Molecule: ribosomal RNA, 372 nt
Filed under: uncultured bacterium
Lineage: Bacteria
Description: bacterial SSU rRNA
Rfam family: Bacterial small subunit ribosomal RNA
Source: RNAcentral
ACUCCUACGGGAGGCAGCAGUAGGGAAUCUUCCACAAUGGGCGCAAGCCUGAUGGAGCAACACCGCGUGAGUGAAGAAGGGUUUCGGCUCGUAAAGCUCUGUUGUUAAAGAAGAACACGUAUGAGAGUAACUGUUCAUACGUUGACGGUAUUUAACCAGAAAGUCACGGCUAACUACGUGCCAGCAGCCGCGGUAAUACGUAGGUGGCAAGCGUUAUCCGGAUUUAUUGGGCGUAAAGAGUGCAGGCGGUUUUCUAAGUCUGAUGUGAAAGCCUUCGGCUUAACCGGAGAAGUGCAUCGGAAACUGGAUAACUUGAGUGCAGAAGAGGUAGUGGAACUCCAUGUGUAGCGGUGGAAUGCGUAGAUAUAUGGA